RNAcentral lists this ribosomal RNA (449 nucleotides) under uncultured bacterium. Its description in RNAcentral is "partial 16S ribosomal RNA". It matches the Rfam family "Bacterial small subunit ribosomal RNA", at positions 29 to 523 of the family's 1533-position model. The record is from RNAcentral.
AGCGAACGCUGGCGGCAGGCCUAACACAUGCAAGUCGAACGAAGUCUUCGGACUUAGUGGCGGACGGGUGAGUAACACGUGGGAACGUGCCUUUAGGUUCGGAAUAACUCAGGGAAACUUGUGCUAAUACCGAAUGUGCCCUUCGGGGGAAAGAUUUAUCGCCUUUAGAGCGGCCCGCGUCUGAUUAGCUAGUUGGUGAGGUAAAGGCUCACCAAGGCUACGAUCAGUAGCUGGUCGGAGAGGAUGACCAGCCACAUUGGGACUGUGACACGGCCCAAACUCCUACGGGAGGCAGCAGUGGGGAAUCUUGCGCAAUUGGCGAAAGCCUGACGCAGCCAUGCCGCGUGGAUGAUGAAGGUCUUAGGAUUGUAAAAUCCUUUCACCGGUGAAGAUAAUGACUGUAGCCGGAGAAGAAGCCCCGGCUAACUUCGUGCCAGCCGCCGCGGUAA